CAGGAGUCUAACAUAUACGCGAGUCAUUGAGGUUAUAAUAAUCUUAAAGGCGAAAUGAAAUGUGAAGGUGUAUAUAUUUAUAUAUGCACUGUCGCGUGAUCUGUAGUGAAUAUCUUGUAUUUACUACGGCGCAACGUGGACCCGUAUCGAAAUUUAUUUCUUUACGGAGUUUGAGCGUAUAUGUUAGAACCCGAGAGGUGGUGAUCUAUGCCUGGGCAAGACGAAGCCAGAGGAAACUCUGGUGGAGGUUUGAAGCGUUUCUGACGUGCAAAUCGAUCGUCUGACCUGGGUAUAGGGGCGAAAGACCAAUCGAACCACCUAGUAGCUGGUUCCCUCCGAAGUUUCCCUCAGGAUAGCUGGAGUUUAUGAUAUAAAGUAUCAUUCGGUAAAGCGAAUGAUUAGAGGAAUUGGGGACGCAACGUCCUCAACCUAUUCUCAAACUUUAAAUGGGUGAGAAAUGAUACUCGCUUAAUGUGGAGUAUUCAUUGAUAUUAGAGCUCCUAGUGGGCCAUUUUUGGUAAGCAGAACUGGCGAUGUGGGAUGAACCAAACGUUGAGAUAAGGUGCCCGAUGCGAAACGCUCAUAAGAACCCAGAAAAGGUGUUGGUUGCUUAAGACAGCAGGACGGUGGCCAUGGAAUCGAAUC
This 645-nucleotide ribosomal RNA is filed under the name Uroobovella sp. OSAL014198. Its description in RNAcentral is "eukaryotic LSU rRNA". It matches the Rfam family "Eukaryotic large subunit ribosomal RNA", at positions 669 to 1268 of the family's 3401-position model. The record is from RNAcentral. Lineage: Eukaryota; Metazoa; Arthropoda; Arachnida; Mesostigmata; Urodinychidae.